CAGUUAUAGUUUAUUUGAUAAUCGAAAGUUACAUGGAUAACCGUGACAAAUUACAGCUAAUACAUGCAUUAAGACCUGGUCCAAGGGUCGUAAUUAUUAGAUAUUAAACCUCUUCCUACGGGAGUGUGACGAAUCAUAGUAAUCGAACGAAUCGCACAAUAGUGCGAUAAAUCAUUCAAGUUUCUGCCCUAUCAGCUUUGGAUGGUAGUGUAUUGGACUACCAUGGCAGUCACGGGUAACGGAGAAUUAGGGUUCGAUUCCGGAGAGGGAGCCUGAGAAACGGCUACCACAUCUACGGAAGGCAGCAGGCGCGAAAAUUGCCCAAUCCUGACACAGGGAGGCAGUGACAAGAAAUAACUACCCCAGGAUUUCUUGGGAGUGUAAUGAGGAUAAUUUACAAACCUUACCGAAAGCAAUUGGAGGGCAAGUCUGGUGCCAGCAGCCGCGGUAAUUCCAGCUCCAAUAGCGUAUAUUAAAGUUGUUGCAGUUAAAAAGCUCGUAGUUGAAAUUCUGGUUGCUAGGAUGACUAGUCCUCGGACGGUUAUACCUACAAUCAUCCGCUUGUAAACAUAUGUCCACUCUUCACUGCGUGCCUAUGUGAGCAAGCAUUUUACCUUGAGAAAAACAGAGUGUUCCAGGCAGGUAUGUCCGGAAUGCAUUAGCAUGGAAUAAUAGAAUACGACUGAAGUCUAUUUAUUGGUUUAGGGCUACAGUAAUGAUUAAUAGGAACAGUCGGGGGCAUUAGUACUUGACAGUCAGAGGUGAAAUUCUUGGAUUUGUCAAAGACUAACUAAUGCGAAAGCAUUUGUCAAGGAUGUUUUCAUUAAUCAAGAACGAAAGUUAGGGGAUCAAAGACGAUCAGAUACCGUCCUAGUCUUAACUAUAAACUAUACCGACUCGGAUUCAGAUGAAUUGUAAAGUUCAUUUGGGACCGUAAGAGAAAUCAAAGUCUUUGGGUUCUGGGGGGAGUAUGGUCGCAAGGCUGAAACUUAAAGGAAUUGACGGUUUUGCACCACCAUGGAGUGGAGCCUGCGGCUUAAUUUGACUCAACACUGGGAAACUCAUCAGGGCAAGAAGAUUGUAGGAUUGACAGAUUGAGAGUUCUUUCUUGAUUGGUCUAGUGGUGGUGCAUGGCCGUUCUUAGUUGGUGGAGUGAUUUGUCUGGUUAAUUCCGUUAACGAACGAGACCUUAACCUGCUAACUAGUACAGUUAUCUCCAAUAGCUGUUACUUCUUAGAGGGACUAUGUGUUGUAAACACAUGGAAGUUUGAGGCAAUAACAGGUCUGUGAUGCCCUUAGAUGUCCUGAGCCGCACGCGUGCUACAAUGACACAUUCAACGAGUAUUUCCUGAUCCGAAAGGAUUUGGGUAAUCUUUUUAGUGUGUGUCGUGUUAGGGAUAGAUCUUUGUAAUUAUGGAUCUUGAACGAGGAAUUCCUAGUAAGCGCAAGUCAUCAGCUUGUGCUGAUUACGUCCCUGCAAAAUGUACACACCGCCCGUCGCUAUUGCCGAUUGAGUGCUCAGGUGAACCUUCUUGAUUGUCGCAAGACGAAAAAUUAAGUAAACCUUAGCACU
RNAcentral lists this ribosomal RNA (1573 nucleotides) under Cothurnia sp. RNAcentral describes it as "SSU rRNA". It matches the Rfam family "Eukaryotic small subunit ribosomal RNA". Lineage: Eukaryota; Ciliophora; Oligohymenophorea; Sessilida; Vaginicolidae. The record is from RNAcentral.